CGCAUUCACCAGGGGUGUCCCGCAAGGGGCUGAGAUUCCGCUGGGCUUGGCUUUUAGAGGCCAAGCAGCGCGGUGACCCGUUGAACCUGAUCCAGUUCAUACUGGCGUAGGGACGGUGCACGCGCGAUUUC
Molecule: regulatory RNA element, 131 nt
Organism: Rhizobium sp. Root149
Lineage: Bacteria; Pseudomonadati; Pseudomonadota; Alphaproteobacteria; Hyphomicrobiales; Rhizobiaceae
Rfam family: TPP riboswitch aptamer (THI element)
About the family: Vitamin B(1) in its active form thiamin pyrophosphate (TPP) is an essential coenzyme that is synthesised by coupling of pyrimidine and thiazole moieties in bacteria. The previously detected thiamin-regulatory element, thi box was extended, resulting in a new, highly conserved RNA secondary structure, the THI element, which is widely distributed in eubacteria and also occurs in some archaea.
Source: Rfam